UCGAAUACAGCGGCCUUCGGGCCUCGCUGCACCCUUGUCUUUUGCGCACCGUAUUGUUUCCUCGGCGGGCUUGCCUGCCGGUUGGACUAUCAUAAAACCUCUUUGUAGUUGCAAUCAGCGUCAGAAAAACAAUAAUUAUUA
RNAcentral lists this unclassified non-coding RNA (141 nucleotides) under soil metagenome. RNAcentral's name for it is "partial internal transcribed spacer 1". The record is from RNAcentral.